Molecule: ribosomal RNA, 460 nt
Filed under: uncultured bacterium
Lineage: Bacteria
Description: partial 16S ribosomal RNA
Rfam family: Bacterial small subunit ribosomal RNA
Source: RNAcentral
CCUACGGGUGGCAGCAGUGAGGAAUAUUGGUCAAUGGACGAGAGUCUGAACCAGCCAAGCAGCGUGAAGGAUGACUGCCCUAUGGGUUGUAAACUUCUUUUAUAUGGGAAUAAAAUGUUCCACGUGUGGGAUUUUGUAUGUACCAUACGAAUAAGGAUCGGCUAACUCCGUGCCAGCAGCCGCGGUAAUACGGAGGAUCCGAGCGUUAUCCGGAUUUAUUGGGUUUAAAGGGAGCGUAGGUGGAUUGUUAGGUCAGUUGUGAAAGUUUGCGGCUCAACCGUAAAAUUGCAGUUGAAACUGGCAGUCUUGAGUACAGUAGAGGUGGGCGGAAUUCGUGGUGUAGCGGUGAAAUGCUUAGAUAUCACGAAGAACUCCGAUUGCGAAGGCAGUUCACUGGACUGCAACUGACGCUGAGGCUCGAAAGUGUGGGUAUCAAACAGGAUUAGAUACCCCUGUAGUC